AGCCGCGAUAGCCUUGUGGUGAGGUGUUCGAUUCACAAUCGUCCACCCCGGGUUCGAGUCCCGUGGGGCUG
Molecule: transfer RNA, 71 nt
Filed under: Fasciola gigantica
Lineage: Eukaryota; Metazoa; Platyhelminthes; Trematoda; Plagiorchiida; Fasciolidae
Description: tRNA-Val
Source: RNAcentral